AACGCACGAGACCUGCGGACCUGCGGAAGGAUCAUUACUGGAUCGUCGAAAGACGUCUCCUUAAACCAUUGUGAACCUACCUCUUUGUCGUGCUUCGGCAGGCGAGCUCCAUUCGUGGGGUCUCCUCGGCCCUAUGAGGGCGCCUGCCGGAGUGCAUAAUCAAAAACUAUUAUGUUGUCUAUGUGGAAUCUCAGAUAAACCAAAGAAAUAUUGUAACAACUUUCAACAACGGAUCUCUAG
RNAcentral lists this unclassified non-coding RNA (240 nucleotides) under soil metagenome. RNAcentral describes it as "partial contains 5.8S ribosomal RNA, internal transcribed spacer 2, and large subunit ribosomal RNA". The record is from RNAcentral.